This 388-nucleotide ribosomal RNA is filed under the name uncultured bacterium. RNAcentral's name for it is "partial 16S ribosomal RNA". It matches the Rfam family "Bacterial small subunit ribosomal RNA", at positions 523 to 918 of the family's 1533-position model. The record is from RNAcentral.
AUACGUAGGUGGCGAGCGUUAUCCGGAAUUAUUGGGCGUAAAGGGUGCGUAGGCGGCAUAUUAAGUCUGUGGUUAAAGUGCGGGGCUCAACUCCGUAUUGCCAUAGAAACUGGUAAGCUAGAGUGCAGGAGAGGGCAGUGGAAUUCCAUGUGUAGCGGUAAAAUGCGUAGAUAUAUGGAGGAACACCGGUGGCGAAGGCGGCUGCCUGGCCUGUAACUGACGCUGAGGCACGAAAGCGUGGGGAGCAAAUAGGAUUAGAUACCCUAGUAGUCCACGCUGUAAACGAUGAAUACUAAGUGUUGGAGCAAUUCAGUGCUGUAGUUAACGCAAUAAGUAUUCCGCCUGGGGAGUAUGCACGCAAGUGUAAAACUCAAAGGAAUUGGCGGGG